RNAcentral lists this ribosomal RNA (511 nucleotides) under Rossellomorea marisflavi. Its description in RNAcentral is "bacterial SSU rRNA". It matches the Rfam family "Bacterial small subunit ribosomal RNA", at positions 35 to 524 of the family's 1533-position model. The record is from RNAcentral. Lineage: Bacteria; Bacillati; Bacillota; Bacilli; Caryophanales; Bacillaceae.
GGGCAGGUUGCGGCGUGCUAAUACAUGCAAGUCGAGCGGAUCGAUGGGAGCUUGCUCCCUGAGAUCAGCGGCGGACGGGUGAGUAACACGUGGGUAACCUGCCUGUAAGACUGGGAUAACUCCGGGAAACCGGGGCUAAUACCGGAUAACACCUACCCCCGCAUGGGGGAAGGUUGAAAGGUGGCUUCGGCUAUCACUUACAGAUGGACCCGCGGCGCAUUAGCUAGUUGGUGAGGUAAUGGCUCACCAAGGCGACGAUGCGUAGCCGACCUGAGAGGGUGAUCGGCCACACUGGGACUGAGACACGGCCCAGACUCCUACGGGAGGCAGCAGUAGGGAAUCUUCCGCAAUGGACGAAAGUCUGACGGAGCAACGCCGCGUGAGUGAAGAAGGUUUUCGGAUCGUAAAACUCUGUUGUUAGGGAAGAACAAGUGCCGUUCGAAUAGGGCGGCGCCUUGACGGUACCUAACCAGAAAGCCACGGCUAACUACGUGCCAGCAGCCGCGGUAAU